GGGCAACUAGCUCAGCUGGUGAGAGCGUCUCCCUUACAAGGAGAAGGUCGCUGGUUCGAGUCCAGCGUUGCCCACCG
Molecule: transfer RNA, 77 nt
Filed under: Chloroflexota bacterium
Lineage: Bacteria; Bacillati; Chloroflexota
Description: Chloroflexi bacterium tRNA-Val
Rfam family: tRNA
About the family: Transfer RNA (tRNA) molecules are approximately 80 nucleotides in length. Their secondary structure includes four short double-helical elements and three loops (D, anti-codon, and T loops).
Source: RNAcentral